RNAcentral lists this ribosomal RNA (315 nucleotides) under Triticum aestivum (bread wheat). Its description in RNAcentral is "partial small subunit ribosomal RNA". Lineage: Eukaryota; Viridiplantae; Streptophyta; Magnoliopsida; Poales; Poaceae. The record is from RNAcentral.
AUGGACGCGGUGGAGUCCACGUCGCCGCCGUCGCUGCGCCACAAGCUGCGGACCACCGUGUGCGGCUGCUUCGGCUCGCCGGGCAGCGGCGACGAAAGGCCGCAAAGCGGCGGCAGGACCAGGUGGAGGCGGCGGGUGGCGGCCGCGGGGGAGUUCAGGUACGACCCGCUCAGCUACGCGCUCAACUUCGACGACGGCGGCAGCGGCAGCGACGACGGGGCGGAAGCAGAGAACGCGGCCUUAAGGUACCCGAACUUCAGCUCGCGCCUGCCUCUCUCGCCGGCGCCGGCGUCCCGAGCCGUCGCCAUCGCCUGA